GGCCUCGUAGCUCUGUUGGCUAGAGCGUUGGUUUUACUAAAGCCUCCCUCAUGUUGGCGUGGGUUCGAACCUCACAGAGGCCG
This 83-nucleotide transfer RNA is filed under the name Schistocephalus solidus. It matches the Rfam family "tRNA". From Rfam's summary of the family: Transfer RNA (tRNA) molecules are approximately 80 nucleotides in length. Their secondary structure includes four short double-helical elements and three loops (D, anti-codon, and T loops). Lineage: Eukaryota; Metazoa; Platyhelminthes; Cestoda; Diphyllobothriidea; Diphyllobothriidae. The record is from Rfam by way of RNAcentral.